Non-coding RNA from Erinaceus europaeus (western European hedgehog), 127 nucleotides. The record is from Rfam. NCBI's taxonomy places the organism in Eukaryota, Metazoa, Chordata, Mammalia, Eulipotyphla, Erinaceidae.
GUGUUGUAUGAAAGGAGAGAAGAUUAGCAAGCACUCCCCUGGACAAGGAUAGACGAGGCUUCGGCCUACAACACACAUACAGUUAAGGUAUUGCCACCUACUUAGUGGCAUCUAACUGCCGGUUUUU